This is an RNA transcript of Lutra lutra (Eurasian river otter), 4757 nucleotides long. It is a transcript of the gene named cyclin and CBS domain divalent metal cation transport mediator 3, with no coding region annotated. The transcript has 9 exons. The record is from RefSeq and is a predicted model, not a curated record. Lineage: Eukaryota; Metazoa; Chordata; Mammalia; Carnivora; Mustelidae.
GCCGAGAGGGGGCAGCAGGCGAUGGCGGCGGCGGCGGCGGCGGCUCCUCUAGGCUGGUUGCUCGCCGCGCUGUGCCUGGGCAACGCCGCCGUAGAGGCGGCGUCGGGCCCGCGAGUGUUGGGCGUCUGUCUGGAGGAGGACGGAGCCGCGGACGUGGGGUGGGAGCGCGGAGAAGAGGUGCGGACUGCACGGGAGGCCACCUUCCGCCUACGCCUUUUCGGCUCCGGCUUGGCCAACAGCUCCUGGUCCUGGGUGGCCCCCGAGGGGGCGGGCUGCCCCGAGGGCGGGCCGGCCGCGGCGCCCGAGGAGGCAGUGGCCCCCACGGGCGAGUGGCGCGCACUGCUGCGCCUGCGCGCCGAGGCCGCGCGCCCGCACUCGGCGCUGCUGGCGGUGCGCGGGGAGCGGGACGCGUCGGCGGCCGAGGAGGCGGUGGCCCCUGCGGGCGAGUGGAGCGCGCUGCUGCGCCUGCGCGCCGAGGCCGUGCGCCCGCAUUCCGCGCUGCUGGCGGUGCGCGUGGAGCCAGGCGGCGCGGCAGCCGAGGAGGCGGCGCCGCCCUGGGCUCUGGGCCUGGGGGUGGCGGGGCUGCUGGCGCUGGCGGCGCUGGCGCGGGGCCUGCAGCUGAGCGCGCUGGCGCUGGCGCCGGCCGAGGUGCAGGUGCUCCGCGAGAGCGGCUCGGAGGCCGAGCGUGCGGCGGCGCGGCGCCUGGAGCCCGCGCGGCGCUGGGCCGGCUGCGCUCUGGGCGCGCUGUUGCUACUGGCCAGUCUGGCGCAGGCGGCGCUGGCGGUAUUGUUGUAUCGCGCGGCCGGCCAGCGCGCCGUGCCCGCCGUGCUGGGCAGCGCAGGGCUCGUGUUCCUGGUGGGUGAGGUGGUGCCGGCUGCCGUGAGCGGACGCUGGACGUUGGCGCUGGCGCCGCGCGCGCUGCUCCUCAGCCGCCUCGCGGUGCUGCUGACACUGCCCGUGGCGCUGCCCGUUGGCCAGUUGCUGGAGCUGGCGGCGCGGCCCGGGCGGCUGCGGGAGCGCGUGCUGGAGCUGGCCCGCGGCGGCGGCGACCCCUACAGCGAUCUCAGCAAGGGCGUGCUGCGCUGCCGGACCGUGGAGGACGUGCUCACGCCGCUCGAGGACUGCUUCAUGCUGGACGCCAGCGCCGUGCUGGACUUCGGCGUCCUGGCCAGCAUCAUGCAGAGCGGCCACACGCGCAUUCCAGUGUACGAGGAGGAGCGCUCCAACAUCGUGGACAUGCUCUACCUCAAGGACUUGGCCUUCGUGGAUCCCGAAGACUGCACGCCGCUCAGCACCAUCACCCGCUUCUACAACCAUCCGCUCCACUUCGUCUUCAACGACACCAAGCUGGACGCUGUCCUGGAGGAGUUCAAACGAGGGAAGUCCCACCUGGCCAUCGUGCAGAAGGUGAACAAUGAGGGUGAAGGUGACCCCUUCUACGAGGUGCUGGGCCUGGUCACCCUGGAGGACGUCAUUGAGGAGAUCAUCAAGUCUGAGAUCCUGGACGAGUCUGAGGACUACCGAGACGCUGCCGUGAGGAAGAAGCCCACUCCUCUGAGUGCCCCUGUCAAGCGGAAAGAGGACUUCUCCCUGUUCAAGGUGUCUGAUGAUGAAUAUAAAGUGAAGAUCUCGCCUCAGCUGCUCUUGGCCACCCAGCAAUUCCUGUCCCAAGAGGUGGAUGUGUUCAGCCCCUUGCGGAUCUCUGAGAAGGUCCUGCUGCACCUGCUGAAGCAUCCCAGCGUCAACCAGGAAGUGAGGUUUGAUGAGAGCAACCGUCUAGCUGCUCACCAUUACCUGUACCAGCGCAGCCAGCCAGUGGACUACUUCAUUCUCAUCCUGCAGGGCAGGGUUGAGGUGGAGAUCGGGAAAGAGGGCCUGAAGUUCGAGAAUGGGGCCUUCACCUACUAUGGAGUGUCUGCCCUGACAGCACCAUCCUCGGUUCACCAGUCCCCGGUGUCCUCGCUCCAGUCCCUCCGCCACGACCUGCAGCCCGAGCCAGUUGAUGGUGCCCGCUUGUCUGCGUACUGUCCUGACUACACCGUGAGGGCCCUCUCCGACCUGCAGCUCAUUAAGGUCACGAGGCUGCAGUACCUCAAUGCACUCCUGGCUACUCGAGCCCAGAGCCUGCCACAGUCCCCGGAGAACGCAGACCUCCAGGUCAUCCCAGGCAGCCAGACCAGGCUCCUUGGGGACAAGACAGCCACAGCAGCAGCCUUCCCCGUAGACCUUUCCCUCUUUGGCACAUUUGGAAACUGCAGUUGAUAAUUGACUGUGGACUAGUGAGCAUUUUUUGUUUUCAGAAAACACCCAAGGGCCGCACCACAGCAGACCCGGCCUCCCAGCAGAGGAGAGCCCUGGGCGGAACCCAGGGGUUUAACUGCUUGCCAGGCAGCCCCAGGUCUGGGGAAUGGACAAGCACUUGGGGAACUGGAGAGCCGAGGAGUAGCUUCCUGUCAGCCUGUCCCCAGCCCCUUCAGGCCACGUUUUAGAUGGCCCUUAUAGAUGUGGGUCCUGGGCUGUCCUCAGAACCAGACUUCAGUGCCAGGAGCCUUCAGCAGUCCUGCCCUCCUUUAGGAAAUGGGGGUCAGUUGGGGCACAGCCCUCCAGCCCUGCUUCUGAAUGGGAAUGAAAAGGACACCGUCCUCUCUGGUCCCCAGGACCCAGCCUUCUCCCCGUGACAGUGCAGUGUAUUUAUACCUCUUUGGGCCAAGCCAUGAUGUGAGUGCACGAUUAUUGCCUUUAUGUGGCUGUGACCUGUACUCACUUCGCUUUUAAUUUGCCAGCCUUCUGCUGCUGGCAGCACUUUCCGAGCAAACCAGGGGCACUAGGUUGGGCUGGGGGUUCACAUCCUUGGCCACAGUGAACUAUUUGGCUUCCCUUACAAUGCCAUGUUUCCAAGCACGUGCCCCAGCCUGUCCCACGUGCCAAACCUUGAAGCUCAGUGACCCACCAGUAUGUCCCACUGUCCUGCUCCCUCCCGUGGAGGUUGCUUCUCUGAGCUCUGCACUCAGAGCCCCAAGCAAACAAGCUGGCCCCCAGUGGCACUGAGGAGGCCUGCUCCUUCUGCUUCUCUGCCUGUCUUACUUAGUUGCCACUAACAGUAUUGUAACUUUCUGUGUUUGAAGAAGAGAGGUCAUACUUGGGAGGACAGGGUGUGCUGCCCCUAACCCUCUCUCAAUUGCUGGAUCCCGGGGAGUGUAGCCAACCGUUAGGCCUACUUUGUACCUCCUUCCUGGGCCUCCAUGGAGAGCUGGGUGGCUGCCAUCUGCAUGGAGAGCAGCAAGGAGGAGAAGGGUUGGUUGUGGAGCAGGUAGAGCCUCAUCCCCUUUCUUUAAAACAAUACAAACAAAAACUCUCAUCGGUUUUUCUUGUAUCUGUAACAUUUCAGCUCUUUGCUUUUUUUUUUUGCUGUUCUUAGCUACAGGGUUUUAGAGCAUUGGGAACAAGAAGGCAUUUAUGUUUUCUUUCUGGUUUACCCAUUCUUACCUCCUGCAGUUCUUCAACUGUGUAGAAACUGGGGCGUCACAGAGACCUAGUGUUGCAGAUUGGAUAGGAGGGAGGAGGACUUCUAGAGGCUUCUCAGAGGAAUUCAGGUCCCUUAUCUGGGACCAGUGGGAAUGAAGGCCAAAGAACAAUGGCAUGCUCGCUUAGAAACUUCUCAAGGAAUACUAAGAGCAAACCCAGGUGGGAAACAUUUUACGAUCAUCUUUCUCUAGAACAGUGGUUCUUAACUUUAGCUGCAUGUUAGAAUCACCUGGCAAAUUGAAAAAUACUGAUACCUGAUAUCUGGGGCUCCCUCUUUGAGGGAGCCUGAUUUGGUUAAUCUGAGGAUCAGGAUUUUAUUUUUUCAAACAAUUUUAAUUAAAACAAAAAACUAUGCUUUUUUUUUUUCCUCUUAAGUCACCUGCACACCCAGUAUGGGGCUUGAACUCCCAACCCUGAGAUUAAGAGUCGUGUGCUCUACCGACUGAGCUGGCCAGGCACUUCUGAAACAAUUUUAUUGUACAUAAGAGUGAAGAGUUCUAUCUACCCUUCACCCAGCUUCCCUUAAUGUUAACAUCUUACAUAACCUGGUACAUCUAUCAGAACUAAAAAAAUUAACAUCUGUACAAACCUGUGAACUGAAUUACAGAGUUCAUUGGAUCUUAUCAGUUUCCAGUAAUGUCCUUUUUCCGUUGCAGGAUCCAAUCCAGGAUACCAAGUUGCAUUUAGAGUUAUUGCUUACUCUUAUCUGACUUGUUUUGAAAUAAUUACAGAUUUGUAGGAAGUUGCAAGCUGGAGGGACCCUUCACCCAGUUUUCCUCCAUGGUUAUUCUUGCACAGUUAGAACACAGUAUCAACACCACGAAGGUGACACUGGCCAAGUGUGAGGAAUCGUUCUCUGUCCUCCUGGGUAGAUUUGUGUAGCUGCCACUGCACUCUCAGUAGAGCUGUCCCACCACCACAAGGGUCUCUCUCGGAGCUCCCCGUUAGAACCCCAGCCACCCGCAUGGCCUCCAUCCCCAAUCCCUGGCAACCACUAAUCUAAGAUUUUGUCAUUUCAACAACAUUGUAUACAGUGUGUGACCCACCAGUCACCAGUUCGGGAUUGGCUUUUUUCAUUCUGCAGAAUAUUCCAGAGACGGUUCCAGGUUGUUGUGUGUGUCGGUAGCUCAUUCCUUUUUAUUGCUGCGUAGUAUUCCUUGGUAUGCUCACUGUCCCGUUGAAGGACGUCUGGGUGGCUAUUCCAAAUAAAGCUGCUAUGAACAUUCCUUACA